Molecule: long non-coding RNA, 236 nt
Organism: Lemur catta (Ring-tailed lemur)
Lineage: Eukaryota; Metazoa; Chordata; Mammalia; Primates; Lemuridae
Exons: 2
Source: RefSeq, a predicted model, not a curated record
AUCAUCAGACCACUUUACAUGCACGUGGUCGGAAGUUUGACUUACUAUUGGUUAAUAGCGGUAAAGCCCGCCCAACCACCUCCGGUCUGCUCCUUUAAGAAAGCGCUGUGGGCCCUUCUGAGCCUUUUCACGUCUGCAAAGGCUGGGAGGUCCCGGCCCGGCCGAAGACGUCAGAUCUCAUCGUUCUACGCCCUUUUUUGUUACCUGUUCCCCUCAAUAAAGUGGCUUAACCCCAA